Molecule: unclassified non-coding RNA, 331 nt
Filed under: soil metagenome
Description: partial contains 5.8S ribosomal RNA, internal transcribed spacer 2, and large subunit ribosomal RNA
Rfam family: 5.8S ribosomal RNA (bases 1-120)
Source: RNAcentral
GAUGAAGAACGCAGCGAAAUGCGAUAAGUAAUGUGAAUUGCAGAAUUCAGUGAAUCAUCGAAUCUUUGAACGCACAUUGCGCCCCCUGGUAUUCCGGGGGGCAUGCCUGUUCGAGCGUCAUUUCACCACUCAAGCCUCGCUUGGUAUUGGGCAACGCGGUCCGCCGCGUGCCUCAAAUCGUCCGGCUGGGUCUUCUGUCACCUAAGCGUUGUGGAAACUAUUCGCUAAAGGGUGUUCGGGAGGCUACGCCGUAAAACAACCCCAUUUCUAAGGUUGACCUCGGAUCAGGUAGGGAUACCCGCUGAACUUAAGCAUAUCAAUAAGCGGAGGA